RNAcentral lists this ribosomal RNA (451 nucleotides) under uncultured bacterium. Its description in RNAcentral is "partial 16S ribosomal RNA". It matches the Rfam family "Bacterial small subunit ribosomal RNA", at positions 354 to 796 of the family's 1533-position model. The record is from RNAcentral.
GUGGGGAAUAUUGGACAAUGGAGGCAACUCUGAUCCAGCCAUGCCGCGUGUGUGAAGAAGGCCUUUUGGUUGUAAAGCACUUUAAGCGAGGAGGAGGCUUACCUGGUUAAUACCUGGGAUAAGUGGACGUUACUCACAGAAUAAGCACCGGCUAACUCUGUGCCAGCAGCCGCGGUAAUACAGAGGGUGCAAGCGUUAAUCGGAUUUACUGGGCGUAAAGCGCGCGUAGGUGGCUAAUUAAGUCAAAUGUGAAAUCCCCGAGCUUAACUUGGGAAUUGCAUUCGAUACUGGUUAGCUAGAGUAUGGGAGAGGAUGGUAGAAUUCCAGGUGUAGCGGUGAAAUGCGUAGAGAUCUGGAGGAAUACCGAUGGCGAAGGCAGCCAUCUGGCCUAAUACUGACACUGAGGUGCGAAAGCAUGGGGAGCAAACAGGAUUAGAUACCCUAGUAGUCC